This is a long non-coding RNA of Felis catus (domestic cat), 818 nucleotides long. RefSeq lists it as uncharacterized. NCBI's taxonomy places the organism in Eukaryota, Metazoa, Chordata, Mammalia, Carnivora, Felidae. The record is from RefSeq and is a predicted model, not a curated record. The transcript has 2 exons.
UAGCUGUUACGGCCUGAAAGCCUGUGUGCCCCCGAAAUUCCUAGGUUGAAUACUUAACCCCCAUUGUGAUGGCAAGAGGAAGUAUUGUCUUUGUGAUGUGAUUCAGUUUACAUGAGGUCAUGAAUGUGGAGCCCUCAUGAUGGACUUCGUGACCUUUGGAGAAAAAAGGAGAGGCCUGAGCCCUUCCUCUCUCCACGAGGUGAGAAGAUGGCCAUAUGAAACCUGGAAGUGGUUUCACCAGUCACUGAAUCUGUUGCCGGCGUGGUGUUGGCCUUCCCAGCUUCCAGACUGUAUGAAACAAACGUCUGGUGUUUGAGCCACUGUCUGUGAUGUUUUGCUAUGGCAGGUGUGGCACACCAAGAUGGUAACCGAUGCAUCAGUCUCUAUUCAAUGAACGUUGGGCUGCUGAAUAUGUAAUGGCCUCACCCACGCUCUGGCUGAAGAACAGACCUCAAGACGAACAACUACAAGCGUUGCGGAAGAAGCCUCCGCUUGGACUGGGGACGUGCACGCUGGAGACACGGGUGGCAGCUACUCGUAUGGCCGAUCCGCCCACGAGAGACUCGUGUUCGCUGCUUCUGUGACCCCAGCCGCCUUGCUCAGGGGACCAGCAGAGAGGCUCACUUCCUUGUGUGGCUGACAGUAAGCAUCCGAUGUGGAGCCAAACUAUAAAAUACUAUCAAACUAUAAAUAGACCCAUACAGGUCCUUUUUACAGAACUCUCAGCACUUUUAUUCAUUAAGAUUCAGAUGCUAUGGAGGGUACAGACGCACCCUCCCCUCCUGGAUCCCAAAUAAAAUACCCUGUAUGGAAACAGA